RNAcentral lists this ribosomal RNA (158 nucleotides) under uncultured bacterium. RNAcentral describes it as "partial 16S ribosomal RNA". It matches the Rfam family "Bacterial small subunit ribosomal RNA", at positions 354 to 509 of the family's 1533-position model. The record is from RNAcentral.
UGGAGGAAUAUUGGUCAAUGGGGCGGGGAGCCUGAACCAGCCAAGUCGCGUGAGGGAAGACGGUCCUAUGGAUUGUAAACCUCUUUUGUCGGGGAGCAAGAGGCACGUGUGGUCAAAAGCGAGAGUACCCGAAGAAAAGCAUCGGCUAACUCCGUGCC